AUUGAACGCUGGCGGCAGGCUUAACACAUGCAAGUCGAGCGGGGUGAUGGUGCUUGCACUAUCACUUAGCGGCGGACGGGUGAGUAAUGCUUAGGAAUCUGCCUAUUAGUGGGGGACAACAUCUCGAAAGGGAUGCUAAUACCGCAUACGUCCUACGGGAGAAAGCAGGGGAUCACUUGUGACCUUGCGCUAAUAGAUGAGCCUAAGUCGGAUUAGCUAGUUGGUGGGGUAAAGGCCUACCAAGGCGACGAUCUGUAGCGGGUCUGAGAGGAUGAGACGCCAAACUGGGACUGGAAAACGGCCCAGACUCCUACGGGAGGCAGCAGUGGGGAAUAUUGGACAAUGGGCGGAAGCCUGAUCCAGCCAUGCCGCGUGUGUGAAGAAGGCCUUAUGGUUGUAAAGCACUUUAAGCGAGGAGGAGGCUACUUUAGUUAAUACCUAGAGAUAGUGGACGUUACUCGCAGAAUAAGCACCGGCUAACUCUGUGCCAGCAGCCGCGGUAA
This 503-nucleotide ribosomal RNA is filed under the name uncultured bacterium. RNAcentral's name for it is "partial 16S ribosomal RNA". It matches the Rfam family "Bacterial small subunit ribosomal RNA", at positions 30 to 523 of the family's 1533-position model. The record is from RNAcentral.